RNAcentral lists this unclassified non-coding RNA (3660 nucleotides) under Agrilus planipennis (emerald ash borer). RNAcentral describes it as "uncharacterized LOC108732284, transcript variant X1". The record is from RNAcentral. Lineage: Eukaryota; Metazoa; Arthropoda; Insecta; Coleoptera; Buprestidae.
CGAAAGUGGUGUAAAUCGAUAAUGUAUAUUAUUUGAUUUGGAAGCAAAUUAGUUGCAAAUUAGUGAAAUUUAGACCAUGCGCGAAACCAAUUAAUAAUAAAUUAAAUAAUUCAAAACGUAUUAAAGAUGAGAUAAAGAUAAAGAUGUUUGAUUAAUUGAAAUAUUAUAGCACUCGGCGUGAUGAAGAUGACUCACAAUAGGUAUUUUGUUAUCACUGUGUGAAAGAGAAAGGGAUCUGGAAUGUUCCGUGUUACUAGCAGAUAUACGCAUGUUGUUUGCGCAGAAGUUAAAAAUAAUAAAGUCCGCGAUGUACUUUACGUUCGGUUUAUUAAAGUGGAAUUUAUUAUUUUGUACGUGGUGUAUUUAAAACUAUUUGUUCGAAAUGCCUGCUUGUGGAAUUGGCCAGUUACUACAAAAAGAAAAAGCGUCAGUUAACCUACAGGACAUCAGGAAAAAGGAAAGAAAAUAUGAAAAUGUGGUUAUGACAGCUGGAGAGGAUGAUCGUGUAUCAGGCAGAUAAUAACGAUAAGGAUGGCGAGAGGGGUUACCUAGAGGGCUUAGCGUCACGUUACGCUGACCUGUUCUGUACUCACUACGGGGACGUUUUGAACCAUCUUGAGGAGUUACGAAAGAAAGAACUGACCGAAAUUUCGUCGCAGGACAAAAGCUUGAGCACAACCCCAAAUAGAAAAUACGCUAACGUCACUGCCAUAUCGAACGCAGGAAUUACUUCAUCUCAAUCUCAGCCGAUUUAUGUGCCGGGGAAAUACUCGCCGUCGAGUUGCCUGAGCGAUAAAGAGGAAGAUGAAAUUUAUGGGUUCGGCUAUGGGGUUUUCGGUGUUCAAAUAGCCAGGCAGCAACAGCAACGAAUUAUGGCUGCAGCCGAACAGGGAAAUAACAGCCAACAACUCAGUCAGCAUUUCUACCAAACGUGUCUUAGUCCGCGGUCCGCUUUUUUUUACGAGUUUCCCCCAAACGAAAACGCGAAUUACGCAAACACGGGGAAAAAGCGGACGACAUUCUCCAGGUUUCUUCGGGGCUUGAAGACUGCUCAUCGAAAGGAGAAACACGGCGGCAGUUCCCCCAGGCACGGAAGGGCUACGUCGGGAGGCGCAGUACCUCAGAGGGUCGACACCCCGGACAGUGUCCUACAAAGUGGUUUGGGACUCCCAGCAGAUUUAGCGCAAAGUAACGUCCUCAGGUCUAUGAUAGAUCCUCGAGAUUAUGAUCGACUGAGAUAUUUGCAAAUGAACGGUGGAGGUCCAAGCACCUUCGAAGAAACAAUCUAUAGAUUAAAAGUCCAAGAGGCGCAGAAGAAACGUGAAAAAAUCACAAAAGAACAUGAAGAGAUUUUAAGGAAUAUUAGAGAAGGACUAAUGCAUUUAGGAAAAGGAACAUUCCGGGGACAUUUGACUGCAGACGACACGUACAUGUACGACGAAGACGUCCGUAUGUUGGCACCAGCAACGUAUGAUAGAGGCCAUUGGUAUGACGAACCACCUUACGAAAGUGAUCCCGAAGAUUUUCUGAUGAGAGGAAGUCCCGGGCCUACGGCAACAAUAGAAAAUGGCAGAGUGUGCUUCACGUUGAACCAAAGACAAGAGCAGUGUGCUGAAGGUAUAAUAUCGUUGCGAAGUGCAGGCGAUAUUUCACUACCAAAGGAAGGAAACGGAAGGGCUAUAACUGGACAUUCCAAAUGCAGGAAAUUACUGAUUUCUCGCAGAGAUGACGAAUCUCCGUCGCUAACGCGUAUGAGGGAAAGUGGUGAUUAUGCAGGGUCAGAUAUUCAAAGUGUUAGCUCAAGAAUUUCAACUUUAUCAAUGGACACUAGUCGUUCGGAUCAACUAGAACUGAUGCAUUUUGAUGAUAACCUUCGCAAAUACCACAAGAAGUGUGGUUUCACUGAUAGAUUACAGUCGCCAAAUCACAGUUCUGACUACGAAGAUCAAGAAGAUUACGACAGUUGUAAUCCGCAAAUUGCCACCGUUCAUGUGUCAGAUGAGGGAAGAAUGGGUGUAAGUAACUUAGUAGGAAGGGUAAGGGGAUUGAGGGAGGACGUGCAAAAGAAAAUAUCCAAAUUAAGGAACGAAUCGUCCACGGAUCAAGAGAAACGUUUCGAGCACUCAUUUCCGUGUUCUGCCAGUUCAGUGGAAAGCAUUCCCAGUGGUUCUGGUUCAAGCACUCAGGCUUUGGUAAGGGCGGGUAGCAACCACAGCUCGAUAUCAGUAGAAGACAUAGAUUCAAGCCCUGCAGACCCUCAAAUAAUAGGCCGCGCUAGGGCUCUGGUAGAUUACACCCCAACCCCUUAUGAUAAGGAAGCACUAAAAUUUAAGAAAGGUGAUAUUAUAGAUAUAUUAUCGAUGAAUGCGAGCGGCCAAUGGAAGGGAAUUUGCCACGGUCAAAAGGGCACGUUCAAGUUCAUAAACGUCGAACUAAUGUCCGAGAGGUCGGUGAGAGCAAAGAGGGAGCCCAAAUGGCACUAUCAAAUCAAAAACAAACCAAAGUCCGUCGAGGAUCUUCUUCAAAGGAUCGGAAUGCCAGAACAUAUUUCAGUUUUUGUCCUGAACGGCUACGAAGAUUUGGAAUUGUUCAAAGAAAUAGAACCUUCUGAUUUAGAUUAUUUGGGAAUUUUGAACUCGGAGCAUCGUGCGAAGCUGCUGGCAGCUGUGCAACUACUUCAUGACAUGGAUUCUGGAAGUGAAGGAGAUGUUGCGGGUUCCAGCAGCGAAGGCGACGACCAUAGCAGGAUUCGUCUUCUGUGUUCUACGUCCACCGAACCAUUUAGUCGUUGCCAUUUUUCUAGGGAGUCCGGCAGUUAUCCGGGGAAAACCCUCCACUGCCCAAAACUGCCCCCUUCGUCAUCUAAUCCGACACCAAAGAGCGAUUUCAACAACCUGGACGCCGUGGUCGAACAGUGCAGUAACGAAAUAAUAGCCAGGGUACGACAGUCUCACAAAAACACGCUCAACUUGAAGGAGGAACCGUGUUAUCAGCCGAACAUCACGGACAAUCCAAUGCCAAGUUUUCUUAACGACGAGAAGAUUCAACACGAAACUCUCGACCAACAAGGGAUGACAAAGGGAGCACGUAAGGGCGUUCGUCUGGAUGAAUUCGGUGCAGCCGAAGAUCAAAAACUGACGACAGUAAAAUACAUCGUGGGUGGGAAUAUAGAAAUGGGUAUUGGGGACACGAUGGUGUCUACCGCGAAUGUGAUAGGAAAGGGAGGAUGUUUCAGUGAAAAGUCUAGUGAUUCGGGAAUAAGCAGCAGCUCGAUGUGUUCGACUAAUACAAAAGAUUCUUUAAGACAGCCCUUAGCAGUUCACGCGGACAAUUUAAGUCGAUUUUCUGCUUGUGCCAAUAGAGCUUCGUCAAAAAUGACUAAGUGACAAGUUAUAGAAACAAGGCCCAUAAAUAGUACUAUUCAAUAUUCUGAACCAUCAAAAAGCCCCCCUUAGAAAGUUCUAUUUCAAGAAGGAGAAAAAGAAAGGGACGACGUAACCGUUACCACUGAGUAAGGGAAUCUGAAUACGGGAACGUCACCAUUGGAAAAAUAUUGUGAACCAGAACAAGAAAGCAUCAUGGCACUCCAGCAACAAAAUGGUUACACAAUUUUGAAGGACUUCAUCCUGGACAAUUUUGGGUGGACGUAACAUAAAAAAG